Molecule: long non-coding RNA, 526 nt
Organism: Lucilia sericata (common green bottle fly)
Lineage: Eukaryota; Metazoa; Arthropoda; Insecta; Diptera; Calliphoridae
Exons: 2
Source: RefSeq, a predicted model, not a curated record
AAAAAAUAUAUAUAUUAUAAGAACCUUUUAAAUAAUUUGGUUUUUUUUUCCUUUUUUUUUGUAUAUACUGGUUUCCGGCAACCUAUGAGUACAAAUCUACCGCGACACUAUUCAUAAGUAGGCCUGAGCUCAAUCCUAACCUUACGCGCACGCCUGGUUCAAUUUCAACCAGCGGACUGGCUUCGAGCAACUAACCGUAAGAAAUUAUCUAAAAGGACAGGUUCUGUCCGUCCUGUCGUUCGGGUAAGAGGUACACGUCUAUGUCGAAAACCUUAAUACCUGGGCACCAUAGGACUGUUGGUGCGGAUCUGCUAGAGUAGUCCCACGCUGGAUGGAGCUGGCGAUGGCGUGACUCAGGGUUGCUGCUUUAGUAUUAUGUUUCUCGCUUUAUUUAGCUUUAAGAUUGAUUUAAUUUAGUUUAAAACUUUUAUGAAUAAAAAAAAGAAUUAUUUAAUUUAAAUGAAGAUUUUUUUUCUCUGACGGCCACGGGCUCCACCUUCUUCUUGGGCAGGGAAAAAUGAAAAGA